GAAUAAGAAGCGAUCUAUUGCAAUCAGUUUCGACCUGAAAAUAUGGUAAAAUUCUACCCUUAUUCU
RNAcentral lists this transfer RNA (66 nucleotides) under Xenocatantops humilis. RNAcentral's name for it is "tRNA-Arg". Lineage: Eukaryota; Metazoa; Arthropoda; Insecta; Orthoptera; Acrididae. The record is from RNAcentral. RNAcentral also lists the same sequence under 1 other name.